UCAAAGGGACUCGGAUACAUAUGAUAUACCCCUACUCCACGUGCCUUGUAUACUAUGAUGCAUGUUCGUGAGGUAUUAUUUUAUUUUAUUUAUUUAUUUAUUUUUUUAUUUUUUUUGAUAUCGGCACAGAUGUAUUUGUUAUAAAUUGACUCAUUGGCCGCGCCUGCAUGCGAUGAGGCUCCUUGCAUGGGCCAACGCGCGGACCGGGAAGCCACAACACCGACAACUUGAGCUUCAAACCUCAGCCGGCCGUUCUCCGCGAACAAACAUUGAUGAUAUCUGUAUAUGUACGGUAUACGGUAUUUUUGUUUUUUGUUAGCAUUUGUCUGACGUAACACCCC
RNAcentral lists this small RNA (341 nucleotides) under Histoplasma ohiense. Its description in RNAcentral is "hypothetical lncRNA". Lineage: Eukaryota; Fungi; Ascomycota; Eurotiomycetes; Onygenales; Ajellomycetaceae. The record is from RNAcentral.